AUUUUAAAUCUAGCCUAAAUAUAAAAUACUAAUUCCUAAUACACAAAACAUUAUUAUAUGAUAGU
RNAcentral lists this ribosomal RNA (65 nucleotides) under Desmognathus quadramaculatus (black-bellied salamander). RNAcentral's name for it is "partial large subunit ribosomal RNA". The record is from RNAcentral. Lineage: Eukaryota; Metazoa; Chordata; Amphibia; Caudata; Plethodontidae.